GCAAACUUGGUCAUUUAGAGGAAGUAAAAGUCGUAACAAGGUUUCCGUAGGUGAACCUGCGGAAGGAUCAUUUCUGUAAACACAUAUAAACACCGGGGGUUGAUGGGUGUGAUGGGGGGGUCAUUAUGGGCUCUGUCCAUUAUGGGCUCUGUCAUUCCUUGACCCUGUGUUUGCAAACAAAAACACCCUUAAAAACAGCUUUAUAGUGUCUGAAUCUUAACUAGUUUAAUAUAAAAACAACUUUCAACAACGGAUCUCUUGGCUCUUGCAUCGAUGAAGAACGCAGC
This 287-nucleotide unclassified non-coding RNA is filed under the name uncultured fungus. RNAcentral describes it as "partial contains small subunit ribosomal RNA, internal transcribed spacer 1, and 5.8S ribosomal RNA". The stretch from base 1 to 73 matches the Rfam family "Eukaryotic small subunit ribosomal RNA", at positions 1759 to 1831 of the family's 1831-position model. The record is from RNAcentral. Lineage: Eukaryota; Fungi.